CUCACAAGCGUCCAGCCAGUAAGACCCGCCGCCGUUUGCCGGAACCCUAGGAUUCUCCAUCAACAAGUUAAAACCCUCUCCACCUCACACUGUAAUAGAAAACGAGAAAAAAAUAACUGGAGACACAGAAGAAAAUAAAAUCAGAAAAUCGUGCUUGUUGCUUGCAGAUUGGGAGCUGAUAGACCGUACGAAGCAGGAGAAUAGUGCGAUCGGGUAGGGUUAGUGAGAGUGAGAGAGAGAUAGAUAGAAAGGGGAAGAGCUUUUUCUCUCCUUUCUCUCACUCUCUGCCCCAAGUAGGGAGAAUUUCUUCUCCUUUUUCGUGAGAUAUUCUGCAAG
Molecule: long non-coding RNA, 336 nt
Filed under: Linum usitatissimum (flax)
Lineage: Eukaryota; Viridiplantae; Streptophyta; Magnoliopsida; Malpighiales; Linaceae
Description: long non-coding RNA (LUSI_LNC001138)
Source: RNAcentral